UGUGCAAUAAACGAAAGUAUGACACAGAGAGGACACAUUUAAUUGAGCCCGUCAAAUUAAGUGCCAGCCGACGCGGUUAAACUUAAGGGCUGGUCUUUAUAAGUAAAAAGGCGUAAAGGAUGUGUAGGCCAAGAAACGACCCAAGAAGGUAAAUGGAAUUUUUCUGGAGCGGUAGAAUGUGAGGAUAGAAAAUAGAACCCCUAAGGUUAAAACUAUUUACCACAAGGUAGGCUGAAACAUGAGUGUGUGGGGAGCAAACAGGAUUAGAGACCCUGGUAGUCCACACUGUGAACUUUGAAGAUGAUGCUUAGCAGACCCGAAAGGUAAAAUCUUCCGCCUGAGUAGUACGAUCGCAAGAUUAAAAUUCAAAAACUUUGGCUGUUCACUAUUUCGAUUAGAGGAGCGUGUAGUUUAAUUCGAUGGUCCGCGUGUUACCUUACCCCAACUUGAAUCUGUGACCGGUAUUGCAUGGCCGUCGUAAGUUCGUGUAUUAAGCUAGAAGGGACCCAACCCGGGCAUUUGCCCGGAGGAAGUCAGGUCUUAUGAUCCGAAUGUUGGGGGAUUUUAUGCGCUACAUUUUCUUAUAUAAUGGGAGACCUGGAAGGUGAGCCUCUAAAGUAAGAGUUCGGAAGGUCGCUGUAAGACGACUGGAAGUUGGAUUUAAUAGUAAUCGGAAAGUAGGGCGUUCCGGUGAAUUGGUACAAGUGUUAGCACAAAUUGCCCGUCGCCUUUACCUAGAAUGGUUAUUCGGACGCC
This 756-nucleotide ribosomal RNA is filed under the name Urticina sp. JM-2016. RNAcentral describes it as "partial 12S ribosomal RNA". It matches the Rfam family "Bacterial small subunit ribosomal RNA", at positions 365 to 1428 of the family's 1533-position model. Lineage: Eukaryota; Metazoa; Cnidaria; Anthozoa; Actiniaria; Actiniidae. The record is from RNAcentral.